CAGGAACUCUGCUCCUAGAGAAAUCCAGGACCAAGGACAAUGCUGUCAAGGAAUCCACCAGCUUGAGUAGACACAGUGGUGGUCAUAGGCUACAUUCUUUUUAUCACCUGAAGUCACUUUAGCGACUACACUCUGCAAAUCAGAACUCCAAGGCAGAUAAAGACAAAUUCCCUGGACAGAAGGUGGAAAGACAGAAGAGCCAGUCACCUGGCAGAGUGGGGAUGGGGGAGGGGGAGGUUGGUGCACUGAGGCAACCAGCCAGCCAGCAGCCUUUCAUGCCUCUAAGGUUCCAGGGCGCAGGCAGCUGGCGGGUUCACAGAUCUGGCAAACAGGGAAGCAGGAAGGGCAGCCAUUCCUCCUAAAGAGCAGAAUUCUUAGCCCCUGUGACAGGCCCUCCUGUCUAGUCUGCUAGGAAAUCUAGGGGUCUUCUGUCUCCAGUUUUGCGAACCCAGGGACCCAGUGAGGGUCAGUUCAGAGAGAGGCAUCUGUCCCAGCCUGCAGCGGCCCCCCUGAUCCCUGAGCCAAGCUGGAAUUGGUUAGACUGCCAGCUCCAGCACGGAGACCACACAGGCGCCGCCGGAGGGCAAGGCUGACCACCGCGCUGAGACUUUAUUGUGCGGAGGGAAAUUGACGUGCAAAGUACAGAUGAAAGGAAAACUUCGGCGCAGACCCCUCUAACCCAUGAUGGGAAAUCUGAGAAAAGGAUCCGGGAAAUGGAGUGCGGUGCAGGAGCCUGGAACUUAGCAAAAAGAAAUGAGGGGAAGGGGCGGACGGCGACUGGAAGAAAGAAAAUUCGGCUCAUUUCUGAUGAAAACACAACCUGUGAGAAAAAUACUUAAAAUCUUAGCGAUCCUUCCCAAAGUGACGUCGAGGACGGUGUGGUCCCAUGUUCAGGGGUUUUUCUUCUGCGAAGAUUUGAUCGCUGUUCUAUCUCUUCGUGUCUCUGUCGGACCCUGUCUUUCUCUAAAGGAAUCUGGCUCUGUGCAAUUAGCAGUAAUAUAUGAAAGAAAUCAAGCUGGGCCGGAGAAAACGAAAGUACUUCCCAGGACUGUAGAUCCUUGUGAUUUCUCGAAGAACCCUAAAGGAAUCCUCCUGCCAGAGCUCACAUACUGUGGGAGAUUUAAAAAAAAAAAAAAUCUGUGUUUUGGAACUAACCCACAUACUAAAAAGUUAGCAGCCAUUAGAGUUACCAGGAGUUCCUACCCGGAGUGAGUACCCAGCUUCCUUAGUGGCCAUUUCUGAGUGGCAAAAAAGGCCUCAAAGAAAAAGCUCUUAGUGUCUAAAAAUUGUGCCUAACAGUUAGGAUGUGUGUUUGUGUUUCCAGUUGUCAAUUGCUGUGUGCAGCCUGUCCAGACAAGAGGAGAGGAGAUAAGGCUGAAAUGUUUCUUUUUCGAUUGCCAAAUAUGGAUAUGGCUUGCUAAUUUCAAGACCUUUGUAAGCAAAGACAUUUAUAACGGGCCUUUCUAGGUUGAAAAUUUCCAAGGGAAGAGUUUGCCUACACUUGGGCACAGUCAUACUUACCUAUUUUUUAAGUACAUAAAACUUUUAAAAUAAAAAUUGAUUAUAUUGAAAGAAAUAACAUUUUAUUGGAGAUGUUUUUGAGCUGGAGUGGUAAAGAGUUUUUAGACAUGGCAAGUGAUAACCUCUUAAAAACAUCACUUGUGUGAAAGGAAUGAGGAGCAGAUUCAGCGAGCCGAGUGCGGAGGUUUCAGAGGUCUGGUGCAGAGUUUUCUUCAUCUAUAGGGAACAUCAUAGUGUUCAGGAUAGCAAUACUUUAUAAUAAAUAAGAACACUUUCUAGAGGCAACAUAAGCUUAAAAGAAAAAGAGAACACAUGUGUAUUAA
Long non-coding RNA from Cavia porcellus (domestic guinea pig), 1844 nucleotides. RefSeq lists it as uncharacterized. Lineage: Eukaryota; Metazoa; Chordata; Mammalia; Rodentia; Caviidae. The record is from RefSeq and is a predicted model, not a curated record. The transcript is spliced from 2 exons.